UCGGUCCUUAGCACAAGGUAUGCUAAAUGUGACGCCCCGGAUUUUGAUCCAAGACAUUACGCCUAAUUCAUUCUCAUUUUCAAAAAUUACUACUAUUUUCUUUUUAUCAUCAAUAAUACAUUCUUAGUAAAAUCUAUACAAAAUUCUUAACAUAAUUUAAUAAAAAUUCCUAAAAUAAAUAUCCUUUAAAAUUUACAAUUCGAUAAAAAACCUAAUUUGUCCCCCAUACGCACUUCAAGCAAAAAACUUCAAAGCAUGGACCAUCUUUUCUUUCGUACCUAAAAUAUUAGUGUAAGGGUCAAUUUCCUUAUCCAAAUUGGUUCAUACUCAAAAGCACCAUAAACAAAGUCAUAAAGUAGAUAAUAUCAAAACUUAUCAAUAAAAAAGAAAUAAUAAAAAUACAUUUAAGUCUUUAAGGUAAAGUUCAUACACAUUUCUUUUGUAUAUAUAAAAAUUUAAUCACUUAUCAACACACAGAUGUAUAACAGACCCAAUGCAAUGAUGUGUAAAAUGCAUGCUCUUAGAUACUACAUGAUCCGGAUAUAAUGCCCGCCACUAAGGCAUCCGCAAAGAAUAUAAUUGCAAUUUCCGCCACUAAGGCAUCCACAGAGAAUAUAAUUGCAAUUCCCGCCACUAAGGCACCACACAGGUGCAUAUGCCAUGCAUGGUCAUGAAAAUGAAGACUAAAACCCGCCACUAAGGCACCACUAAGGCACACCAAAAAUGCACAUAUUAUGAGAAUAAAAAUAUAUGCAAUCCCCACAACUUAGACAACCACACAGAAAAUAAUACCACAUCAUGCACACGACAAAAAAAAUCUUUCAUAAAAAGCUUAUUUCUCUUAUUAUUAUUUCUGUUCGAUAACAAUCUCAAAUUUUACAUGCAACAUCCAUGAUCAUAUACCCACACAUAAAAGAGAAUCAAAUUUCAUAUAACAAGUCAUAGACACACAUAUUUCAUGAAUAAUAAGCAAGCACCAAUUUUAUAGUCCAUCAAACUUAGCUGCACAAGCAUUCAACAUAGGAAAACACAAUAUCACCAAAUAUAGCUAUGUGACUAUCUAGCUGCCAAAUCCUACAAAAGUGUCUCCCAGGUAUGAAUAGGAUGGCCGUAAAUGAUAAAUAAUAAGACUGUGGUAUAUUUUCUCUAAACAAUGAUUAGCCACACAUAUACUUAAAUUUAGACUUCUAUUAAUUCUUUUAAGAAAGAUUUUAAGUACCGUAUCAUAAUCAUAAUAUCAUUAUUUCUAAAAUUUAUAUCAUUUUCAUAAAACUCACAUUUCCAUUUUUUUUCCUUUUUCUAAUUUAUCAAAAAUCUAACAUCUCUUUCCCUACAUCACAAGAACAUAUCAAGCAUAAUAAUAUAAAACAUACCAGUUCACAUCACAUCCACAUACACAACUUUCAUAUAAAACAUAAGUAAGAAUAAUUUUUACCAUAAAAAUACAUUUUAAUUAUUUUUCUUUCUACCACUAUUUAAUGACACAUCUCUAACACUUAGUAUGGACGUAUGGGAAAAAGCCCUUACCUAGAGAGCUUUUCUUCCUAGGCGAACUCUAAACAACCUCAAACUCACAACUACGGUUAAGACACGUUUUCUCUCACUCCAAGAAUUAUUUGACGGAUGGACGGUUGAAAACGAAGGCGUAGUCGCAGUUCUACGCUGACUGGUUUGAGGAAAACGAAAAUGACUUAAAUCAGAAUUUUCAUGAAGUGAAACAAGAGAUAAAUUAGAAACAUAUGUGUGCAAGGACUCACCAGAAUAGAAAUUGAUUGAUGGACUUUGAAUAUCGUUAUGCAAUUGUAUGAAACACAAGGUAAUCCAAUACAAAUAUCAUCAUCAUGAAAUAAUGUAAUGAAUGGCAAGGAACGUGGUUUUCUCAGGUUUGUUAAUGUAUU
RNAcentral lists this long non-coding RNA (1898 nucleotides) under Medicago truncatula (barrel medic). Its description in RNAcentral is "long non-coding RNA (MTRU_LNC000001)". Lineage: Eukaryota; Viridiplantae; Streptophyta; Magnoliopsida; Fabales; Fabaceae. The record is from RNAcentral.